Molecule: ribosomal RNA, 253 nt
Filed under: uncultured bacterium
Lineage: Bacteria
Description: partial 16S ribosomal RNA
Rfam family: Bacterial small subunit ribosomal RNA
Source: RNAcentral
UACGUAGGGUGCAAGCGUUGUCCGGAAUUAUUGGGCGUAAAGAGCUCGUAGGCGGUCUGUCGCGUCGGCUGUGAAAACCCGGGGCUCAACCCCGGGCCUGCAGUCGAUACGGGCAGACUAGAGUUCGGUAGGGGAGACUGGAAUUCCUGGUGUAGCGGUGAAAUGCGCAGAUAUCAGGAGGAACACCGGUGGCGAAGGCGGGUCUCUGGGCCGAAACUGACGCUGAGGAGCGAAAGCGUGGGGAGCGAACAGG